GCAGCCAUCCUCAGCAACAGCAAGGAUCUGAACUCCUUCUGCGAUAAAAACAGCUGCGUUCUUAUCAGGAAAGUUAGCAUGGAUGCCGGCAGCAGCAGCAGCCCGUGCAGAACCAGUCCUCUCCAUACGUCAAGCAGUGUUUGUAUAUAUUUCAGUGUAUCCAAGCGAGGCCUUUUUAACUUUCCAUGCUUUGGACGGAGCUGUACUUUCCUGAAUGGAAGCCAGGAAAAAACUUGGAGAUUUGGCAGGAAGACUGUGGGAAGCCUGCUGCAACACCAAGCUGAGAUCUGGCGCAGGAGCCUUCUACAAAGGCAGACGAGCGAAACACCUUCCUUUGUUUAGCUCUAGUAUGAGCACAAAUGGAGCCCCCAGAUUGCAAUCAGGUACUAUUGUAUAAACUUGGGGUUUCCAUGGCACAAAAAAUUUCUGGCACACCUCCCUUAUUAUUUUUCAGCUGGAAAAUCAAUUAGCAUUCUUUUUAUAUCUGGGUGUUAAUACUUGGGCCUUAGAGCAAGUUUUUGGCCACCAGCCCACACGGCUGUAGUCUCUUGGGCAAUGCCUGACAAAUUAAGAUAAAACCAUUACUUCAUGUUUUCCUACAAAGAGAAAACAAAAACUGUUUCCUGCGCUUAUUAAUUGAAUGAAGUCAAUUUCCAUGUUUAAC
This 664-nucleotide long non-coding RNA is filed under the name Cavia porcellus (domestic guinea pig). RNAcentral describes it as "lncRNA (ENSCPOG00000036688.1)". The record is from RNAcentral. Lineage: Eukaryota; Metazoa; Chordata; Mammalia; Rodentia; Caviidae.